RNAcentral lists this ribosomal RNA (975 nucleotides) under uncultured fungus. RNAcentral describes it as "eukaryotic LSU rRNA". The stretch from base 632 to 975 matches the Rfam family "Eukaryotic large subunit ribosomal RNA", at positions 1 to 338 of the family's 3401-position model. Lineage: Eukaryota; Fungi. The record is from RNAcentral.
GGAAGGAUCAUUAUUGAAUAAACUUGAACAGGCUGUUGCUGGCCCCAAGGGGUAUGUGCACGCUUGUCAUCUUUAUCUCUCCAACUGUGCACAUAUUGUAGACCUGGGAAGUAUUGAUUGUUUGAGUAAAAAUCAGAUAGAUUGAGGACUGCUGUGCUUUCAAACUAAAGUCAGCUUUGCCUUGUAUUUCCAGGUCUAUGUUUCACAACCUCUGAACAUGUUUAGAAUGUACCUAUAAAAGUUAAAUAUACAACUUUCAGCAACGGAUCUCUUGGCUCUUGCAUCGAUGAAGAACGCAGCGAAAUGCGAUAAGUAAUGUGAAUUGCAGAAUUCAGUGAAUCAUCGAAUCUUUGAACGCAUCUUGCGCUCCUUGGUAUUCCGAGGAGCAUGCCUGUUUGAGUGUCAUUAAGUUCUCAACCGCACCAAGUUCUAUGGUGUAGGCUUGGAUAUUGGGGGUUUUGUUUGCAGGCUUCAUUUUUGUAAAAAGGAAGUCAGCUCCCCUGAAAUGUAUUAGUAGUAUCUGAGCAGAAUCUACUACAGGUGUGAUAAUUAUCUAUGCCUUGGUGUACUGCAUGAACAGAUUACACUGCUUCUAACAAGUGAACCCUGUGUGGGCCACAUUUGACAAAUUUGACCUCAAAUCAGGUAGGACUACCCGCUGAACUUAAGCAUAUCAAUAAGCGGAGGAAAAGAAACUAACAAGGAUUCCCCUAGUAACUGCGAGUGAAGCGGGAAAAGCUCAAAUUUGAAAUCUGGCGGUUUUUGACUGUCCGAGUUGUAAUCUAGAGAAGUGUUACCUGUGCUGGACCGUGUACAAGUCUCCUGGAAUGGAGCAUCAUAGAGGGUGAGAAUCCCGUCUUUGACAUGGACUACCUGUACAUUAUGGUGUGCUCUCAAAGAGUCGAGUUGUUUGGGAAUGCAGCUCAAAAUGGGUGGUAAAUGCCAUCUAAAGCUAAAUAUUGGCGAGAGACCGAU